Molecule: transfer RNA, 76 nt
Filed under: Acidobacteriota bacterium
Lineage: Bacteria; Pseudomonadati; Acidobacteriota
Also listed under: 3 other names
Description: Acidobacteria bacterium tRNA-Thr
Rfam family: tRNA
About the family: Transfer RNA (tRNA) molecules are approximately 80 nucleotides in length. Their secondary structure includes four short double-helical elements and three loops (D, anti-codon, and T loops). Further hydrogen bonds mediate the characteristic L-shaped molecular structure. tRNAs have two regions of fundamental functional importance: the anti-codon, which is responsible for specific mRNA codon recognition, and the 3' end, to which the tRNAs corresponding amino acid is attached (by aminoacyl-tRNA synthetases). tRNAs cope with the degeneracy of the genetic code in two manners: having more than one tRNA (with a specific anti-codon) for a particular amino acid; and 'wobble' base-pairing, i.e. permitting non-standard base-pairing at the 3rd anti-codon position.
Source: RNAcentral
GCCCACGUAGCUCAGUUGGCAGAGCGCGUCCUUGGUAAGGACGAGGUCAUCAGUUCAAUUCUGAUCGUGGGCUCCA